UGGGGGAUAUUGCACAAUGGGCGAAAGCCUGAUGCAGCGACGCCGCGUGGGGGAUGAAGGCCUUCGGGUUGUAAACUUCUUUUGCUCUGAACAAGGCAUGCCUUUGGGGUGUGUUGAGUGUAGGGGUUGAGUAGCGCCGGCUAACUACGUGCCAGCAGCCGCGGUAAUACGUAGGGCGCGAGCGUUGUCCGGAAUUAUUGGGCGUAAAGGGCUUGUAGGUGGCUGGUUGCGUCUGUCGUUAAAGCUCAUGGCUUAACUGUGGGUUUGCGGUGGGUACGGGCUGGCUUGAGUGCAGUAGGGGAGGCUGGAAUUCCUGGUGUAGCGGUGGAAUGCGCAGAUAUCAGGAGGAAUACCGGUGGCGAAGGCGGGUCUCUGGGCUGUUACUGACGCUGAGGAGCGAAAGCGUGGGGAGCGAACAGG
RNAcentral lists this ribosomal RNA (420 nucleotides) under Fusobacteriota bacterium. RNAcentral describes it as "Fusobacteria bacterium partial 16S ribosomal RNA". It matches the Rfam family "Bacterial small subunit ribosomal RNA", at positions 355 to 776 of the family's 1533-position model. The record is from RNAcentral. Lineage: Bacteria; Fusobacteriati; Fusobacteriota.